RNAcentral lists this ribosomal RNA (542 nucleotides) under uncultured bacterium. RNAcentral's name for it is "partial 16S ribosomal RNA". It matches the Rfam family "Bacterial small subunit ribosomal RNA", at positions 355 to 914 of the family's 1533-position model. The record is from RNAcentral.
UGGGGAAUAUUGCACAAUGGGGGAAACCCUGAUGCAGCAACGCCGCGUGAGUGAUGACGGUCUUCGGAUUGUAAAGCUCUGUCUUCAGGGACGAUAAUGACGGUACCUGAGGAGGAAGCCACGGCUAACUACGUGCCAGCAGCCGCGGUAAUACGUAGGUGGCAAGCGUUGUCCGGAUUUACUGGGCGUAAAGGGAGCGUAGGUGGAUAUUUAAGUGGGAUGUGAAAUACUCGGGCUUAACCUGGGUGCUGCAUUCCAAACUGGAUAUCUAGAGUGCAGGAGAGGAAAGUAGAAUUCCUAGUGUAGCGGUGAAGUGCGUAGAGAUUAGGAAGAAUACCAGUGGCGAAGGCGACUUUCUGGACUGUAACUGACACUGAGGCUCGAAAGCGUGGGGAGCAAACAGGGUUAGAUACCCUGGUAGUCCACGCCGUAAACGAUGAAUCCAGGUGUAGGGGGUUGUCAUGACCUCUGUGCCGCCGCUAACGCAUUAAGUAUUCCGUCUGGGGAGUACGGUCGCAAGAUUAAAACUCAAAGGAAUUGAC